UCGGGAAUUUUGGGCAAUGGGCGAAAGCCUGACCCAGCAACGCCGCGUGAAGGAUGAAGUAUUUCGGUAUGUAAACUUCGAAAGAAUAGGAAGAAUCAAUGACGGUACUAUUUAUAAGGUCCGGCUAACUACGUGCCAGCAGCCGCGGUAAUACGUAGGGACCAAGCGUUGUUCGGAUUUACUGGGCGUAAAGGGCGCGUAGGCGGCAAUUCAAGUCAUCUGUGAAAUCUCCGGGCUUAACUCGGAACGGUCAGAUGAUACUGCUUUGCUAGAGUGCAGAAGGGGCAAUCGGAAUUCUUGGUGUAGCGGUGAAAUGCGUAGAUAUAGGAAGGAACACCAGUGGCGAAGGCGACCACCUGGACUGAUACUGACACUGAGGUGCGAAAGCGUGGGGAGCAAACAGGAUUAGAUACCCAAGUAGUCCCUGAG
RNAcentral lists this ribosomal RNA (429 nucleotides) under uncultured bacterium. Its description in RNAcentral is "bacterial SSU rRNA". It matches the Rfam family "Bacterial small subunit ribosomal RNA", at positions 355 to 801 of the family's 1533-position model. The record is from RNAcentral.